Molecule: long non-coding RNA, 613 nt
Organism: Gorilla gorilla gorilla (western lowland gorilla)
Lineage: Eukaryota; Metazoa; Chordata; Mammalia; Primates; Hominidae
Exons: 3
Source: RefSeq, a predicted model, not a curated record
GGGGUCUCACUAUGUUACCCAGGCUGGACGUGAAGCCCUGGGCUCAAGCAAUCUUCCUGCCUUAGCCUCCUGAGUAUCUGGGACUACAGGUGCACACAACUGCACCCAGCUCAGGGCCGUAGUUGAUGAGACACAUGAGAGAUCCGAGGGAAAUUUUUAAAAAGCAAAGAGGUGAAGGAAUAAAUAUCAUCUGGUACAGCCCCACAGUGGAAUACUACUCAGCAAUAAAAAGGAAUACACCACUGAUAUACACAAAAAUGUGAAUGGAUCUCACAGGCCUUAUGCUGACUUGGAAGAAAAAAGCCAAUUUCAAAAAGUUUUUAACCAUAAAACUAUACUUAUUAAAUACUCUUAAAGUAACAAAAUACAGUGAAAAAGAACAGAUCAGCAGUUGCCAGAAGUUAGAGUUUUGGGAAGAACAGUCCCUGGAGUCUUCCUCCAGAAUGCAAACAACCUGGUGCUGCUGUUUAUCUUUUCAAUGAUGUCUGAAAACAAGGGAACCAAUGUGAGCCUGCAGCUCAUACUGCCUGCGGUACUAUGAGUCAUAAAGUACUUUAUCUUUGACCCAAGUGUAUCAUAUCUUCUGCCAAGAUCUAGGAAACUCUGGCAGGCA